GUGUGAUGCCCCAAAGUUUUGGGGCCUGUCACUCGCCAGGAUUGUGCGUGCCAACUAGGCCGCAACCUUGUCAGCUAUACAGGCGGCAUGUGCUGAGGGAAUAUGCUGAAGUCGAAGAUGAGGCAAAGGGGCAUAACAUGAGGCAACAAGCAUCUAUAUAUGUUGCAUGACAUGUCCUAAGAGUGCCAAUGUGAUUUGGAGAGGGCUUGGUGUGAGCCCAAGGGGGCGGAGGCAUGGUGAGGAUCGUGUGCGGUGUUCGAUGUCAGCGCCGUGCCAUUUUGAGCUACAAGUGGAAUCUAAGGAUUCCGGUUUAUAGAGUUGAUAUUGAUGGUACCUUAUGUAUGCUUACCAAAUUUGGGGUCAUUUGG
Molecule: long non-coding RNA, 368 nt
Filed under: Capsicum annuum
Lineage: Eukaryota; Viridiplantae; Streptophyta; Magnoliopsida; Solanales; Solanaceae
Description: long non-coding RNA (CANN_LNC012006)
Source: RNAcentral